UGUGACCAGGCGCAUCCUGUACAGCUGUGGCAGCCAGCCAUACUUACAGAAGUGCAAACAUGGGCCUUGUUACCUUCUAGGAUCAGUAGCCCCUGGCAUUCCUGGAAGUUUUCUGUCCUUGGGCAAGCAGGGCUACCAGGUUAGAGACAUUUUUUUUAAAAUAGGUGUCUUAAAUGUAAAGCACCACCACUUUAGCCCUCAUACAAGGAGAGCAAUCUGAGGCUUCUACUUCUGAAAAAUUUCUACCUCUUUCUCAUAAGUCCAGAAUAGAAGAAACCUUAGAUCAAUAUACCAUCAGUGGUAUAGGUCAGUGACAAUCUCUUUCCCAAUACUUAUCGCUGAAUACUUGAACCUGUUACCAACUAUUCAAGAUAUAGAGGAGAAACUCCAUCAUUGGGAGAACAAUCCUUUGAAGAGAAGUUAGGCAUCAUCAUUAGAGCCAUUUGGAAAAUCACCCGUCAUAUGGCUGAGGUUUCAGAAGAAUCUGCUCUGUCUUGGUCCAGACAAACCCACAGAUGCCUCAGAAAGGUCAUAAAGACAAAAAGAAGGAGACAAGCGAGGAGAGAGAAUGAGUGCAGACCUACGGCCACCCUCCCCCCACUACUCCAGUGCUGCCUUAACUAUGCAGAAUGAAGACCCUAGAUCAAAAUCUGACCCUGCUCUCUACUCAGGAAGAUGAGCCCAACUUUUGCCCAAGGACAGAUCUUGAGCAUCUGAAGUGUCAGUGAGACAUAUCAGAAAUAUCAGAUGGAGUCCUAAGGGCUUUCAAGAGUCCUAGGCGCUCUCUCUCUCUCUUCUCUCUCUCUCUCUCUCUCUCUCUCUCUCUCUCUCUCUCUCUCUCUCUCUCUCUCUCUCUUCUUUGAAGUGACAUCAUUGUCAUCAGCACCACUCUAUUUUGGUCAUUCCCUAAACUAUAUUUAGCUGACUUUGUCAGGGUAAUUUCUCAGUAGAAAGGUAGCCUUCACACUGGGGACAAAGAUUUAAGGCCCAGUCUGCUGAGCCCUGUGGGCAGAAAGAAACUGGAGAUGUCAAGUGGAAUAGAUACAGAUGUCCUUUAUUGUGUCUACUAGUUGAAUUUAAUUUUAUAGUUUUUCAGUGUGCUAUUGUUUCUACUAGCUGAGUAAUUUUGUCAGAGAUAGUUGUGUUUAUUCUGAGAACUAGCCUGAGGAGAAAGUGAAAGCACCGUGGUUGUUAUCUCGGCCCUACCCUGCAGUGGAGUCGGCUCCCUACCUCCUUUCUCUAUGUUUUCCUUGCCAUUUGCCUGGCUUAUUGGGAAUGGAAAGUACACAAAUAGCCAUCAUUUUGGAUAGUGUGUCUUGGUACUAAUAACUAAAUGGAUACACCUUAUAUAGCUCCUCUCAUUUUCUUUUAUCUUUGGCCAGAGAUUAGCUUUUAAAUAUUUUGUCUUUAACAUUUUUUUUUUUUUCAAAAUUCUGUGUUUUCUCAAUUGGUUGGAUAGGCCUCAGGGUACAGUAGCAACUCUUCUCGUAUGGCCCACUCCUGCCCUCUGCUUUAUCCUUCAUGCCACCGUUAGGGUGUUCUUCUGAAUUGGGUUGGUAUCUUCCUGCUCUCUGUGUUAAAACAAUAGUUAAACACAAGACGAUGACUCUUCCUUGUCAUUCCUUAGCCAGACUGUCCCAGAACCUGGAAUAGGUUCUGAGGAUGCUAACAGAGGUAAGUACAGGGUGAAUGUCUCCUUUUGAAAAGGCUUGAGAUUGAAAAUGUUUGGGGUUUCAGAUUUGCUUAUAUGUAAAUGAAGUGUCUCGGAGAGAAGGACAAAGCCUAAGCAUGAAUUAUAGUUUAUGUACACAGUAUACUGUUAAACUGAGGGCAGUUCUGUAUAUCAUUUUAAAUAAUUUUGUGUGUGGAAUAGUUUUGUGAAAUUUUAUACUUUUCCCUUGCUAUUCUUUUAAAUUUCUCUUUGAAUAGAAUCUAAUAUAGCCUAAGUAUGCUCCUGCCUCAGCCUUCCCAUUGCUGGAAUUGCAGGCUUGUACCACCAUAGGAUUUUAGAACAUCCAGAUUUUAACAUUAGGAAUGUUCCUCUUGUAUUUUUUUUUUAAUUCAAGCCAUUCAGUUUCCUCAUUGUUUAUUAUACUUAUUUUAUGUGUAUGAAUGUCUGCAUGUAUCUAUGUGGACUGCAUAUGUGUUAGAAGCCUGUGGAGUUACACAUGGCUGAGAGCUACCAUGUAGGUGCUGGGAACUGAACCCUCGUUCUCUUCGAGAGUAGCAAGUGCUCUUAUCUGCUGAGCUAUCUCUCCAGCUCCAGUUUCCCCACUGUUAUCCAGGUACAUUUGAUUAAUCUCUUCCCAGCAU
This 2313-nucleotide long non-coding RNA is filed under the name Mus musculus (house mouse). RNAcentral describes it as "long non-coding RNA chr10:95969912-95972225". The record is from RNAcentral. Lineage: Eukaryota; Metazoa; Chordata; Mammalia; Rodentia; Muridae.